RNAcentral lists this small RNA (31 nucleotides) under Bombyx mori (domestic silkworm). RNAcentral describes it as "piRNA piR-bmo-1818599". The record is from RNAcentral. Lineage: Eukaryota; Metazoa; Arthropoda; Insecta; Lepidoptera; Bombycidae.
UAGUAAAUGACAGUCCCGCCCUUGCGGGUGG